This is a small nucleolar RNA of Heterocephalus glaber (naked mole-rat), 102 nucleotides long. NCBI's taxonomy places the organism in Eukaryota, Metazoa, Chordata, Mammalia, Rodentia, Bathyergidae. The record is from Ensembl.
AUGCUUUUGUGUCCCAUGAGCAUGAUAACUGGGUUUCCACACUGCUGUCUGAGAUAUGCCCCUUCAAAUCUUGUUACAAUGUUGGCACAUUACUCAUCUACA